RNAcentral lists this long non-coding RNA (371 nucleotides) under Physcomitrium patens. RNAcentral describes it as "long non-coding RNA (PPAT_LNC013869)". The record is from RNAcentral. Lineage: Eukaryota; Viridiplantae; Streptophyta; Bryopsida; Funariales; Funariaceae.
UCUAAUAAAUUCUAUUCAAAUACUAAAUAUAUACCACAACAAAUUUCAAACCUCAAUAAUUAUUAUAUGUAUUGUUGAUCUUAAUUCAAAUUUUUUUAUAAAUUCAUUUUACUAUUUUAAAAUAAGCCUACAAAAUUUGAAGAGAAUCUAAUUGACGAACUAAGAUAAAAUUUACCUAAUCUUCUUGGGUGUUGACCAUCUUCUUUCUCCAAUCUCAAAGCAAAACUUCCACAUUUAUUAUUAUGCUAUUAACUUGUUAAUUUUUUCUCAAAAUUUGCAAAAAUAUGAAGACUUUAGUGAACUAUAAACAUGUAAAAUAAUUACUCUAUACCAACUUAUAAAUUACUUAAAAUCUAAAAAAUCCUCAUUGA